RNAcentral lists this long non-coding RNA (1232 nucleotides) under Carica papaya (papaya). RNAcentral's name for it is "long non-coding RNA (CPAP_LNC006278)". Lineage: Eukaryota; Viridiplantae; Streptophyta; Magnoliopsida; Brassicales; Caricaceae. The record is from RNAcentral.
UAAGCAUGAAGGUUUUUUAGGGUGUUACAUGUUCCUUUUGCUGUGUUGGGCUAUCUCUGCAUCCUCGAUGGUGGGUUUUUGUGAGUGGGGUGGUUAUGAUUCAGGCUAUUCGGUGGUGUGGCUUUGUCCAGCUUGGAGGGCAUCUGGCGCUCUUGAUGGGAAUUAGGAAUGUCAAUAAUGGGACUAACUUGUGCAUGGUCGCUCGUUGUGGAGCUGUUCAUAGCAUGAGGUGGUUUCGGCUGCGCAGGCUGAACUGGCAAAGCCACUGCACUUUGUGCUAUUCUUUUUGCUACUUUUCGUGCAGCUCAUUCGACAUCCUUUAUGACUUGGCAGGGAGUGAAGUAGGGUCGGGAGUCACAAGUCUUGCGAGUAGAUCUCUUUUGCCUCAUGGUUCUAGUGUUGGCGAUUGCUGGUUGUUAGGAAUCAGGAUGUGGGGUUGAAGGUCAAGGAGGAUGUAGAGAGGUUAGGAUAAGGUUUGGUGGUUUUUGAAAUUUAAAAAGGGCUCCAGGUGUCGUGCACCUAGGCCAAGCGUAAAUGGAAGGGUUGGAUGUUUUUUUUUUUGCUUAGGCAAGGCUUAAGUGAUUGAGAACAGACAAUAGGUGUGGCUUACCCUAGGGCAAGACUUGGGUAGGACAUUUUUUAGAAAAUAAGCUUUGGGGAAGGUUAAUGUAAGUUGACUGGCUUUUGUCCCUGCCCCCCCCCCCCACUAGUCCAACACGUAAGCUUUGGGCAAGGCUUAUGCAAGAUUUUGACUGAGGUCUUAAAUAUCCAUUAUCCUAAGGUAAGGUUAACAUGGUCCGCUUGGGUCAAAGAACCUAAGUGACCGAAAUACAAGCCUUGGGCAAGGCUUAAUUUGUGACUGCCAAACUACUGCUCAAGCAUGGCUGUUUGAUUAACCCCUCAGCAAGGGUCAACAUAUUCGCGCUAGCCUUGGGCAAGGGUAAUUCUCUUCCUCGCAAUAUCAGUAGGGGUUCACAUGAUCAUUUUUCAAGAGCUUAGUAACCUCAAGUAGGUCUUUGAAUGGCUUGCAGCAAGGGAGAAAAACAUAAGUUAAAAUGUCAUUAACAAUCGACAAAAAUGAACAAUAAAAGAAAGAAGAAGAAAGCAAAUAGAAGGAAUGAAGAAACUAAAUGGGUUACCUCCCAUUAAGUGCCCUUGUUUAUCGUCUUAGGCUGGACAUAGCCUAUGAGUUGUCAGUCAUUAUCUACAAAAUUCCCAAUGAUUUGUUCUUC